AUUGAACGCUGGCGGCAGGCUUAACACAUCCAAGUCGAGCGGGGUGAUGGUGCUUGCACUAUCACUUAGCGGCGGACGGGUGAGUAAUGCUUAGUAAUCUGCCUAUUAGCGGGGGACAACAUCUCGAAAGGGAGUCUACUACCGCAUACGUCCUACGGGAGCAAGCCGGGGCUGAAUUGUUACCUUGCGCGAAUAGAGGGGCAUAAGUCGGAUUAGCUGGUUGGUGGGGUAAAGGCCUACCAAGGCGACGAAGUGUAGCGGGUCUGAGAGGAUGAUCCGCCACACUGGGACUGGGACACGGCCCAGACUCCUACGGGGGGCAGCAGUAGGGAAUAUUGGACAAUGGGGGGAACCCUGAUCCAGCCAUGCCGCGUGUGUGAAGAAGGCCUUAUGGUUGUAAAGCACUUUAAGCGAGGAGGAGGCUCUUUUGGUUAAUACCCAAGAUGAGUGGACGUUACUCGCAGAAUAAGCACCGGCUAACUCUGUGCCAGCAGCCGCGGUAA
This 503-nucleotide ribosomal RNA is filed under the name uncultured bacterium. Its description in RNAcentral is "partial 16S ribosomal RNA". It matches the Rfam family "Bacterial small subunit ribosomal RNA", at positions 30 to 523 of the family's 1533-position model. The record is from RNAcentral.